This 540-nucleotide ribosomal RNA is filed under the name uncultured Actinomycetes bacterium. Its description in RNAcentral is "uncultured actinobacterium partial 16S ribosomal RNA". It matches the Rfam family "Bacterial small subunit ribosomal RNA", at positions 367 to 899 of the family's 1533-position model. Lineage: Bacteria; Bacillati; Actinomycetota; Actinomycetes. The record is from RNAcentral.
CUUAAUGGAGAACUUGACGCAGCGACGCCGCGUGAGGGAAGAAGGCCUUCGGGUUGUAAACCUCUUUCCCCCCUUAAGAAGCUUCUCGGGUUAAUAGCCUAGAGGGUGGCGGUACCUCCAGAAGAAGCCCGGGUUAACUAAGUGGCAGGAGCCGCGGGAAUACGUAGGGGGAAAACGUUUUUCGGAUUUUUUGGGGGUAAAAAGGGUGGAGGGGGUAAGUUAAGUCUGGUGGGAAAACUCGAGGGUUAAACUCGAGAAGUUGGUGGAAACCUUGUGGAUUGAUUGCGGAAGAAGAGAAGGGGAUUUCUGGGGUAGCGGUGAAAUGCGCAUAAAUUUGGAAGAAAACCCGUGGGGAAAGGGGGUUUUCUGGGACGGUACUUACGCUUAAAGGCCAAAACGUGGGGAGCGAAAAGGAUUAAAUACCCUGGGAUUUCCCCGCCGUAAAAAAUGGGUGCUUGGGGGGGGGGGUGUAUAAUUCCUUUGUGGCGAAGCUAAAGCGUUUAUACACUCCGCCUUGGGAGUACGGCCGCAAGGGUAAAA